UUCACUCUCCCCGCAAGAACCCUGGAACUUCCCUGUGCCGUGUCUCCAUUCUCGUCCUCAAUCUCAAUCUUUUUCUUAAUUUCUCCCUUUAUAAUGCCGACUUUUCCUUCUCUUUCCCUUCCAUUUCUCAACCCUUAGAAUCCUGACUACAAAUAUCACAAACCCUAGAAGAACUAAUCAUAUAAUCAAAUCUAAUCUAUCUAACCCCUCAAAUUUGGUAGAUAUUUUUUCAACCGCUUAUUUCAGUUGGGGCAAAAGAUCCGAUGGAGUAUGUAUUGUUUGGAGAUGGAUUUUUGUGAUCGGGUUGCUGAGGAGCUUGAAGAUAUAGAUGAGUACUCAGGCUAUGAGGGGACAUACCACAAGAGGUUAUCAUCGUAGGAAAUCAUUGGACUUGGACCUGAACAGCAUGCCACCAACUGAGAACCGAGAUCAAGGAGAAACAUCUCAACUGCGGCUUCAGGAUGCACAGGUUAAUCAACAACAGCCUGUACAGCCUGCAAUGAUCGACAUUGAGGCCAUUGAUGACGAUGUCAUUGAAUCAUCCGCCAGAGCUUUUGCUGAAGCUAAAAAUAAAUCCAGACGAAAUGCUAGGAAGAAUGUAGUUGACGUGGAUGCAGAAGAGCGGAGCAGGGUGUCAAAUAAUAACCGGAGCAAGCGUAGGAGAGAUGUGUCUAACAGACCGUCUGUAAAUUCAGAUUUAUUAAUCAAUUUGGAAGCGAGCAACAGUUCUAUGACAGACCAAGUUUUGUGUGCCACCACUGGAGUGGAAAUUCCCCCAAUGAGUUGCUGCUGAGCUCUUUCUCUCCUGGACCUUGGUUUAUCAGCUGAUUGGGUUCGGUAGCUUUUGUUUCUCCCCUUUGGAGAAGUUAAGUUAGUUUGUUUUAACAAUAAUUUAUUACCUCUUUCUCUCUCUCCUUCUAUGUGUGAGUGCUGCUGUUCUUUUGGUUGGUUUAUGUUCAAAGUUAGGGUUGUUCACAGGUAACAGACAAAUGAGAGAGGAAGAAUAGAAAUAAUUAAAAAAUGUAAGGUUGGGUUGGGCAGCCAUUUUCUCUGUAGGAAAAAUAGACUUUGAUCACUGUAUCCAUAAAACCAAUCGUUUGAUGUUGGUUUCAGUUGGUCAUCGCAGUUUUCGGUCCAACUUUGUUCUGUUGGUUAAUUCUUCAAUUUCUGGAACCAUCAUGGAUUGAUCUUUAUUUUCAGUGGUAGCAUCUUAUUAGCUGUUAUUGUUGAAAAUGUCAUUUUGUAAGGAUAAAUAAAGUAUAUGCUGAAAAUGGAAUUAUGUCUCUAGUGCUUAAUAUUGAGCCAACAUGUGAUUUCUGUGCUAUUGGCAGAAAGUGAAGCCUGCUCCACCGAAAGAGCCCAAAUUCAGUUGUCCAAUAUGCAUGGGUCCGUUAGUAGAAGAAACAUCAACAAAGUGUGGUCAUAUUUUCUGUAAGGCAUGCAUCAGGGCUGCAAUAGGCGUCCAGAGUAAAUGCCCAACAUGUAGGAAGAGAGUAACUGCCAAAGAACUGAUUAGAGUAUUCCUUCCUGGGACAAGCUUGGAGUGAGGCUUACGUCUCACACCGGAUUUUUUUUAAGACUUCGAAAGGAAACGGCAGAAGUUCUUUUGUAAGUAAGAAAAAAGCUAAUUUUUAGAUGGAAAUUUCCAGUGUAUUCUGCUGAUUGCCUGCAUUUUGAUGAUCUCAGAGUUGCAUUAGGAGGAAAUGCAGGAAAUUCUAAUUUCCUUAAUUGUUUUUUGUUGUCAACUUUGAUGAUUUUAUGAAGUUGUAAACAAACUGACAACGAAAUCCGGCAGUAAUGCAAUGAGUUUACAUAAUUAUUAAAUUAGAAAGUUGCUUUUGUUGGUA
RNA transcript from Cucumis melo (muskmelon), 1847 nucleotides. RefSeq lists it as uncharacterized. The transcript has 7 exons. The record is from RefSeq and is a predicted model, not a curated record. Lineage: Eukaryota; Viridiplantae; Streptophyta; Magnoliopsida; Cucurbitales; Cucurbitaceae.